Molecule: long non-coding RNA, 5477 nt
Organism: Tyto alba (common barn owl)
Lineage: Eukaryota; Metazoa; Chordata; Aves; Strigiformes; Tytonidae
Exons: 6
Source: RefSeq, a predicted model, not a curated record
CCCAGUCAAGAACUGGUCGCCAUGAGCAGAUAGUGCAUGGAGGAGUAUGGUUACAGAAUCGAAACUCAUCUCCAGUUAGUUUCUUAUCCAAGGACUGCUGUGUUAUCUCAUCCCAAGAGAGAGCCGCUCCCACCAGCAAUAUAAUUUAACAAAGCUACAAACCAAAUGAGUUGCCAGCCUACAAAACCCUCAUACCUAUGUGAUUUUCAUUCUCUGCGAGGUGUGGUUUUCGGGUGGGCGCUUUCGGACUCUCGGAUCCCUUUGCUAGGCUGAAGGAGCUUAUGCAAUACAUCUGUAUCUGUAAAUGGAUAUCAACCCACCUGAGAUUCUCCUGAAUAAAAAGUUUAGCACUGAAAGCGUGCAAGCUUUGCAGACUUGCAGUGUCCCACACAGGUGAUCGUGGUGCUGGACUGCAUUAAUACGGGUAAAGGCUUCCUUCUACGCGUGUGCGAAGAGAAGUGAAAAUGUGAUUGUCCCAUACCCUUGUAGGUUUGUAAAAACAAUUUUCUAGAGCCGCUAACUGCACCACUAGACUUGGUGGAAAGGAUGGAGGGAGGAUAAUUUCCCUUGGAAAGUUUGGAUGGCUGGAUAGGUCUUCUCUUGUAUAUGCUGAAAGGGAGCAAGGGACACUGAUCAUCAGAGCGCUUCGCAGUCAGAAAAAAGAGUGAUCAUUUCAGUGCAUGGAAAUGGAUGGAAAGAGACGACAAGUCCAGAAUAUGUGAAGGGAUUUCCUCCACCAGGAAAAUCACCGGCUGCCCAAACCCUCUGGUUUCCCACCUGGAGAAGCCCAAGACCUGCCUAUGGUGAUGAUAAUUUCUGCCACGGGGGAAAGCAAAGGCUACAGGAACCCACAAAAGCUAUUAUUAACCUGGAUGUGUUCUGCGAUUUGUUUCCCACACAGCAUUGAAACUGGCACAGCUGAGGGGGAUGAAGCUUGGGAUGAUGAAAGAGUCUAGUAAGGACUGUAGCAAUGAUGACAAAAGUGCCUGCCUAGGACCCAGGCAGCUGCUUGCCGUGCCCCUCUUUACCCAACACCCCCCAAAGUGGCCUGAGUGGGAGAAAAGAUGCCAUUCUGGGGGACAGCUGACUGCCGUGCCUUCCUGGGAGAAACAUGCUGCUUCCAUCAGUGCUGUAGCUAUCCAAAUAAUGUUCCCUGUGAGCUGAACUUCUUCCUCUGGAUAAUACACCAGUUUGCUACAUGCUGGAGAAGCGGGGUGCCCCCGAAUGCCUGAUGCCUGUGUACUGCCCAGGGCUGCUGCUCUGCGUAACCAGGAACCAUCUCUGGAUCACCGUGUGUGACAGGACGGCUUGGGCUUGGCAGUUCUAUGAGAUGUAAAAAUCAAGCCAGCUAAUCAAGAUUUAAACCAACGCCGAACUGAAAAGACUAGCGAGUGGUCCAGCCACGAGUUAAUUCAUUAGUUGCGGUAAAUAUUGCUAGAAGAGCUUGUCAAAAGGAAAUGUGAAGCAGCUGAAAAGAAACGUCCUUAAAGUGAAUGUCAAAGGCUUUUGCAGCUGUCAUCCAGUGGAAUGGGAGACUCCAGACUUUGGAGAGAAAAUGAGAGUAAAAGAAAUAAAAAUUUGAGUACAGAGGAUAAAGUACCAGUUUCCACUGGGUGAUUAUAAAGGAAGCGAUCUUGCCACUGCAGGGACUUAAUUAGAGACUGAAUCUCACAACUGUCUAAUGUCUCCUCCAGUACACUGAGAAACCCAAACCAGCUACAGCGGUCUGUUCAGACCGGCAGCAGCAGGAGGCUCUGCUGCUUCAGGGGCACACUGAAAUGCCAGUUUUAUGUAGCUGGAGGUCAUUUCCAGUGUUCUUGAAUCCUGUAGUCUGUUCAGUGGUCACUUAGGACCAGGGGAGCAACUUCAUUCUCUUGCCUGGCCAGGACGGCAUCAUCUUGGUCCUACAGAAGGCAACAACGGAGCUCCCACUGCUGUGUACCCAAGCCUCCUGGAGGAAAGGUACCAGGACCCGUUUUCCUAGGCAAACCUAAGAGUUAAUUGUCAACAAGAGAGAAUUUCAUGUUUCUGUGACGGAUGUGAUGAAUCGCUGCUUUUGUUGGUCUCUGAAAUGUGCAGAUCAGGUGUGGGUCCUCGGGCCUUCCUGGAGAUGCCAGUGCUGUCAGUCAGUGGUUGCGUGCAUCGGUUCCCUUAAGCCUUGGUGCAGGGCUCAGCUCUCCUGCCUCGCUCCAGCUAUUGCCCGCCUGAGACACUGUCACCCUUCUUUCCCUCCUUUUGGAAAUGUGGAAGCACUGGCCGUAGCUUGAGGCUAACCUUUGGCAGCAAUGCCCAGCCCUGCCCUGGCUGUUCCCUCUUAACUCUGAGCUGCAGUGCAUCACCUCUCCGUCGGUGUGCUGAGCAGAGAACUCCUGAAGUUAGGGUUUUUCUUUGUUUGGUACUUUUUUUUUUUCUAAGCAGCAACAAGUCUUUGCUGGAUUUUAUUUCAGACUGGUCUGUUCUGGGCCCUGGACCUCAACACUCCCCUCCUGGUGCCGGGAAGGGCUGAACGGGCGGGAGCCAUGGUCUGGAGUAAGUGAGCAGCGAGGUCAGCAGGAAGGAAUUAUUUUAGCUGAUAUUGCCAGCAAAGUCAUUUUUUAAGUAACCCUGUCCCUGCAGAGUGAUUCUGUGCAGGCGAGGCUUGAGGAGAGUGCAGGGAUCCCUUCCAGUGUCACUACUACUAGCAGCCACGUUUUUCUGUAGCAGGAUUUUCCCGGCGUAGGGAGGGCUGUGCCUUCUGCGGCUGCUCGGAGAGCUGAGCGCUCCUGGGAGGAGCGCCGGUGACUGCUCGGGAUGGGUAGAUGCAUUGUGUACUGGGGACAGUGGCUUACCAGUCUCCUCUGGAGCUGGGAAGAGGUAAGUGACCUACCCAGAGAGAGCUCAGCAUUGCUAACAUCUGACAAGGACAUUUUCAUAACCAAGAUAAAUGAACAGAUGCCUUUUUGCUCUAGGGAGAUAAUUUCUUCUGUGCUACUAGCCUGAGACCAUUUGCUUGGCUUAGCCUGUAUUUUUACCAUAUGCAACAAGCCUUAACCACUUCAUUUAAGGCUGUUAUUCAUUUGAAUAUGAAACAUUUCUGGCAUUUUUUUCCCAUUUUUCUGGCCCUUGCAUGUUGCUAAUGUCUCCACUCCUGUAUAUAUGUUUUCUUCUCUAACAUUUCAGUUCUCCUCUCUUGUAAUAUUUUAAACCCUUAAUUGCCUGAUGCUGCAGAUGGAGAGUAUUAGUUACCUUCCGUCACCACGCUGGCCACGAUGACUUCCUUUGCUUGACAAGUUGAUUACUUUGUCAAGAUGAGCAUUAAGUCUUUCUGGAGUAUCGCUGUGCGUCUUGUGCCAGAUUGCAAUUGCAAGGUGGUUUCUUAUUGGACGUGCAGUUUCUCCAGACACAGAAUACCAGGAGUAAAACCAGGAUUUUGCGGGGCUUUUUUCAGCACUUCCUUACUGAGAUUGAUGUUGCUCCAGUUUAUACCAAUAGGAUUUGGAUGGCUGUAUCUCUAAAUGUGACAAACUCGUGCAUGGCAAGCAAACCCAACUGAUGAAAUUCCAUUGAUAAAGAAAAUUCCCAUCCUGGCAACCACCCAGCAAAGUCGGCAAGUAGCGAUUAGGCGUUAAUAAUAACUGCACCAAGUCUGCCAAAGCUGCUGGAGAUGUGACUAACAGGCACCUCCGUGGAGCCAAAGAAUUGUUGCAGUGCCUGCUCCCUGCUGCGCAUCCAAAACGGCAGUGUCCUGGGUGAGUGGUGGGGCUCACGGGCUCCCCAGCGUUCCAGUUACGGACAGCAGGGAACAGAAAGGAGCCUUUGCAAAAGCGUUGCAAAAACGGCUUAACACUCUGUAGGCUCAUUAAGGUGAGAAAAACUUCCUCUCCACUGUAUGGUAGGGCAUCGCUGGGGCUGGUGUCUCAGAUCUUGCCAUCAACAUGUUGAGUCCAUCGCUCCCCUUCACAGACCCAAUGCACAGUGUGGGAUCCAGUCGUGGCUCUGCUUGCCAAAGCAUCUAUACAGGGCACCAAACCUUGCCUCCUUAUGCCAUGCACAUGCUGCCCAGGCCUCCAGAGACUUCCACCUGGUCAUAUUCUGCAUGACCCCUAAAAGAGGGUAGACAGCAGUUGCGGCACAGAAGCUGUAGCAGUAACAGUGCUUUCAGAUUGGUCACUGGAUAUAAUUGAGGCAAAAGAGCAAAACCCAAGGAAAUUAAACACAUUUCAUAGCAGUUCCUGAGGGAGAGCAGAUCUCAUAGCUUGUGAACUGCAAACCAGGUCAAGAGGGCUGGACAGAGAAAUUGCUGACAUUGGCCCCAAAAUGUCAUUGUUAAGGCUGGGAGCCAGGAGGGCUGGCGCUUGGGACACCUCCUCCUGGUACGCUGCCAAGGACGGUGGCAAUGUCCUCCCUCUGAGGGUGGUGGCUCCCCGGCCCCGGGCACUCAGCAUCCGUCCCCGCCGCUUGCCCGACCCUCCCUCCCCUCGAGACCUACUUUUGCUGGGAGAGGCAAGGUAACCUCGCCACUGAAAAUAGCUGGGACGGCAGCCAGCGGAGAUUAAUGGCAUCAUUAACGUCCCCAGUUUAUUUAUAGGCUUAAAAAAGCCUCGGACCUGCAAACUGAGCAGAAUUGCUCUGUGUAACGCAGGGACUCCCCGGUCCCCUACUUCUGCCUUUCCCCUUCCUGCUAUUUCAUCCUCGUCUCUGCGACUGUAAAACCUCUGGAGCAGGGACUGUCUCUCAUUGUAAACCUUCCUUACUAGGGGGAUACACACGGAUAUAUUUUUUCCAUGAACGCUGUAUUUGUCUGGUCUCCUUCCUCCACCCAAUUCUUUCUGCGUUCACUGUGUCCUGUGGCCCCCUCUUCGGGAAAAUUCUCUUUUUCAUGAAUUCCUGAGGCAUAGGCUGAGCAGUCGUCACAGGAAUUAGUGAUUUUCCGCCUUGGGUUUUAAACUGUGAGCUCUGUGGGAGAGCACCUAGGACGUGUGGGGUGCUAGUGAAACAUGCAGAUGUAAUUAAUGACCAUGGAGGUCUUCCUACGGGAGCCAGCCGAGCCAGCCCAGCUCCCAGGUCCUCCAGGAACCUCGUGGGACUGGCAGGGAAAGAAAAACCACCCCGAGUGUGUUGGCCCCAGAAGAGGAGUUUUCAGCACGUGACCUGCGGCCGCACUGCCUGGCCUCUUUCCCAGCACUCGGUGAAAGGUAAGUGAGAAAAGAAGCUUGUUGUCAGCAGGCACAAAUCCAAGGAAUUGGCUGUGUGACUGGGAGAUGGCUCCACGGGUGGGAGAAAAAAAGCAAAAAUAUCAGGAGAGAGCUCUCCCGCCCAGAAACAUGGAUAACCAGCGUGGCACCUCAUGGAAGUGAGGUUGCUUCAGAGGGCAACCACCCUUCACUUUGUGUUGUUUUUUUUUUUUGUUCUGUCAAUCUGAGAUAAACUCCUGUGUCAGUCUUUCUUUGGACCUCUGUCUUCUAGGCUCUGAAAUAAAUGCCAGAGAACUGCUCAAA